GACUAAUGAGGUGACCAACCGGCCAGGUGAAAUACAGACUGACUAAUGAGGUGAAAUACAGACUGACUAAUGAGGUGAAAUACAGACUGACUAAUGAGGUGAAAUACAGACUGACUAAUGAGGUGAAAUACAGACUGACUAAUGAGGUGAAAUACAGACUGACUAAUGAGGUGACCAACCGGCCAGGUGAAAUACAGACUGACUAAUGAGGUGAAAUACAGACUGACUAAUGAGGUGAAAUACAGACUGACUAAUGAGGUGAAAUACAGACUGACUAAUGAGGUGAAAUACAGACUGACUAAUGAGGUGAAAUACAGACUGACUAAUGAGGUGACCAACCGGCCAGGUGAAAUACAGACUGACUAAUGAGGUGACCAACCGGCCAGGUGAAAUACAGACUGACUAAUGAGGUGACCAACCGGCCAGGUGAAAUACAGACUGACUAAUGAGGUGACAUACAGACUGACUAAUGAGGUGACCAACCGGCCAGGUGAAAUACAGACUGACUAAUGAGGUGAAAUACAGACUGACUAAUGAGGUGACCAACCGGCCAGGUGAAAUACAGACUGACUAAUGAGGUGAAAUACAGACUGACUAAUGAGGUGAAAUACAGACUGACUAAUGAGGUGAAAUACAGACUGACUAAUGAGGUGAAAUACAGACUGACUAAUGAGGUGAAAUACAGACUGACUAAUGAGGUGAAAUACAGACUGACUAAUGAGGUGAAAUACAGACUGACUAAUGAGGUGAAAUACAGACUGACUAAUGAGGUGACCAACCGGCCAGGUGAAAUACAGACUGACUAAUGAGGUGACCAACCGGCCAGGUGACAUACAGACUGACUAAUGAGGUGACCAACCGGCCAGGUGAAAUACAGACUGACUAAUGAGGUGACCAACCGGCCAGGUGAAAUACAGACUGACUAAUGAGGUGAAAUGCAGACUGACUAAUGAGGUGAAAUACAGACUGACUAAUGAGGUGAAAUGCAGACUGACUAAUGAG
Oncorhynchus keta (chum salmon) is the source of this 1002-nucleotide long non-coding RNA. RefSeq lists it as uncharacterized. The transcript is spliced from 7 exons. The record is from RefSeq and is a predicted model, not a curated record. Lineage: Eukaryota; Metazoa; Chordata; Actinopteri; Salmoniformes; Salmonidae.